Molecule: ribosomal RNA, 730 nt
Filed under: Actinomycetes bacterium
Lineage: Bacteria; Bacillati; Actinomycetota; Actinomycetes
Description: bacterial SSU rRNA
Rfam family: Bacterial small subunit ribosomal RNA
Source: RNAcentral
GGUACACGAGCGGCGAACGGGUGAGUAACACGUGAGCAACCUGCCCCUGACUCCGGGAUAAGCGGUGGAAACGCCGUCUAAUACCGGAUACGACCCGCCACCUCAUGGUGGAGGGUGGAAAGUUUUUCGGUCAGGGAUGGGCUCGCGGCCUAUCAGCUUGUUGGUGGGGUAACGGCCUACCAAGGCGAUUACGGGUAGCCGGCCUGAGAGGGCGACCGGCCACACUGGGACUGAGACACGGCCCAGACUCCUGCGGGAGGCAGCAGUGGGGAAUAUUGCGCAAUGGGCGAAAGCCUGACGCAGCGACGCCGCGUGGGGGAUGACGGCCUUCGGGUUGUAAACCUCUUUUACCACCAACGCAGGCUCGAAGUUCUCUUCGGGUUGACGGUAGGUGGGGAAUAAGGACCGGCUAACUACGUGCCAGCAGCCGCGGUAAUACGUAGGGUCCGAGCGUUGUCCGGAAUUAUUGGGCGUAAAGAGCUCGUAGGCGGCGUGUCGCGUCUGCUGUGAAAGACCGGGGCUUAACUCCGGUUCUGCAGUGGAUACGGGCAUGCUAGAGGUAGGUAGGGGAGACUGGAAUUCCUGGUGUAGCGGUGAAAUGCGCAGAUAUCAGGAGGAACACCGGUGGCGAAGGCGGGUCUCUGGGCCUUACCUGACGCUGAGGAGCGAAAGCAUGGGGAGCGAACAGGAUUAGAUACCCUGGUAGUCCAUGCCGUAAACGUUGGGCGCU